AUUGAACGCUGGCGGCAUGCCUUACACAUGCAAGUCGAACGGCAGCACGGGAGCAAUCCUGGUGGCGAGUGGCGAACGGGUGAGUAAUAUAUCGGAACGUGCCCAGUCGUGGGGGAUAACGUAGCGAAAGCUACGCUAAUACCGCAUACGAUCUAUGGAUGAAANCGGGGGAUCGCAAGACCUCGCGCGAUUGGAGCGGCCGAUAUCAGAUUAGGUAGUUGGUAAGGUAAGGGCUCACCAAGCCGACGAUCUGUAGCUGGUCUGAGAGGACGACCAGCCACACUGGGACUGAGACACGGCCCAGACUCCUACGGGAGGCAGCAGUGGGGAAUUUUGGACAAUGGGCGCAAGCCUGAUCCAGCAAUGCCGCGUGCAGGAUGAAGGCCUUCGGGUUGUAAACUGCUUUUGUACGGAACGAAACGGUGAGCUCUAAUACAGUUUGCUAAUGACGGUACCGUAAGAAUAAGCACCGGCUAACUACGUG
RNAcentral lists this ribosomal RNA (484 nucleotides) under uncultured bacterium. RNAcentral's name for it is "bacterial SSU rRNA". It matches the Rfam family "Bacterial small subunit ribosomal RNA", at positions 30 to 507 of the family's 1533-position model. The record is from RNAcentral.